RNAcentral lists this ribosomal RNA (253 nucleotides) under uncultured bacterium. RNAcentral describes it as "partial 16S ribosomal RNA". It matches the Rfam family "Bacterial small subunit ribosomal RNA", at positions 524 to 776 of the family's 1533-position model. The record is from RNAcentral.
UACGAAGGGGGCUAGCGUUGCUCGGAUUGACUGGGCGUAAAGGGCGCGUAGGCGGUUCGUACAGUCAGACGUGAAAUUCCUGGGCUCAACCUGGGGGCUGCGUUUGAUACGUGCGGACUUGAGUGCGGAAGAGGGUCGUGGAAUUCCCAGUGUAGAGGUGAAAUUCGUAGAUAUCGGGAAGAACACCCGUGGCGAAGGCGGCUCUCUGGGACGGUGCUGACGCUGAGACGCGAAAGCGUGGGGAGCGAACAGG